UUAGUAAACUACAAUGAGACAAAUAAUGUAAUAUCUCGAGAUACAUGAUGAUGCAAAUUUGUGUAAUAUUGUGUUUAUGGAACAUAAUAAUGUUAUUAUGAUUUUUAUGGAACAUUUACACGGAAUGUAAGAUCGUUUGAUGAAUGAGUACAUGGAGAUCACAAGUCACGAAAUACUUCUUUGUAAACUACAUUUGUCGUGCAAGUAUAGCCCUCUCACUGAAAUAAUUCUGAUUGUUGAAGUUUUCGAGAAUUGAAGGAUACACAAAAUCAAUUAAAGUUGAAAUGGGAUCCGAUGUAUCAGUGAUUAGAAGGUCGCUUGGUAUUUCAAUUGACGCUUCUC
This 342-nucleotide long non-coding RNA is filed under the name Helianthus annuus (common sunflower). Its description in RNAcentral is "sRNA HanXRQr2_Chr17g0795171". Lineage: Eukaryota; Viridiplantae; Streptophyta; Magnoliopsida; Asterales; Asteraceae. The record is from RNAcentral.